UACGGGGGGGGCAAGCGUUGUUCGGAAUUACUGGGCGUAAAGGGCUUGUAGGUGGCCAACUAAGUCAGACGUGAAAUCCCUCGGCUUAACCGGGGAACUGCGUCUGAUACUGGAUGGCUGGAGUGUGGGAGAGGGAUGCGGAAUUCCAGGUGUAGCGGUGAAAUACGUAGAUAUCUGGAGGAACACCGGUGGCGAAGGCGGCAUCCUGGACCAUUACUGACACUGAAAAGCGAAAGCCAGGGGAGCAAACGGG
This 253-nucleotide ribosomal RNA is filed under the name uncultured bacterium. Its description in RNAcentral is "partial 16S ribosomal RNA". It matches the Rfam family "Bacterial small subunit ribosomal RNA", at positions 524 to 776 of the family's 1533-position model. The record is from RNAcentral.